RNAcentral lists this ribosomal RNA (439 nucleotides) under uncultured bacterium. RNAcentral describes it as "partial 16S ribosomal RNA". It matches the Rfam family "Bacterial small subunit ribosomal RNA", at positions 339 to 795 of the family's 1533-position model. The record is from RNAcentral.
CUACGGGAGGCACCAGUGAGGAAUAUUGCACAAUGGGGGGAACCCUGAUGCAGCAACGCCGCGUGGAGGAUGACGCAUUUCGGUGUGUAAACUCCUUUUAUAUGUCAAGAAAAUGACGGUAGCAUAUGAAUAAGCACCGGCUAGCUCCGUGCCAGCAGCCGCGGUAAUACGGAGGGUGCAAGCGUUACUCGGAAUCACUGGGCGGAAAGGACGCGUAGGCGGGUUGGAAAGUCAGGUGUGAAAUCCUACAGCUUAACUGUAGAACUGCACUUGAAACUUCUAAUCUAGAGUAUGGGAGGGGGAGAUGGAAUUAGUGGUGUAGGGGUAAAAUCCGUAGAUAUCACUAGGAAUACCUAAAGCGAAGGCGAUCUCCUGGAACAUUACUGACGCUAAGGCGUGAAAGCGUGGGGAGCAAACAGGAUUAGAUACCCCUGUAGUC